This 1498-nucleotide ribosomal RNA is filed under the name uncultured bacterium. RNAcentral describes it as "partial 16S ribosomal RNA". It matches the Rfam family "Bacterial small subunit ribosomal RNA". The record is from RNAcentral.
AGAGUUUGAUCCUGGCUCAGGAUGAACGCUAGCGGCGGGCCUAAUACAUGCAAGUCGAGGGGCAGCACAGGUAGCAAUACUGGGUGGCGACCGGCGGACGGGUGCGUAACACGUAUGCAACUUACCCUAUACUUGGGCAUAGCCCGGAGAAAUCCGGAUUAAUAUCCAAUAUGAUGCAGGAAAGCAUUUUCUUGCGUUGAAAGCUCCGGCGGUAUAGGAUGGGCAUGCGGCCGAUUAGCUUGUUGGUGAGGUAAUAGCUCACCAAGGCAACGAUCGGUAGGGGGCCUGAGAGGGUGAUCCCCCACACUGGUACUGAGACAUGGACCAGACUCCUACGGGAGGCAGCAGUAAGGAAUAUUGGUCAAUGGGCGCAAGCCUGAACCAGCCACGCCGCGUGAAGGAUGAAGGCCCUAUGGGUUGUAAACUUCUUUUCUACGGGAAUAAAUCUCAUUACGUGUGCUGAGUUGAAGGUACCGUAGGAAUAAGCAUCGGCUAACUCCGUGCCAGCAGCCGCGGUAAUACGGAGGAUGCAAGCGUUAUCCGGAUUCAUUGGGUUUAAAGGGUGCGUAGGCGGGAUGAUAAGUCAGGGGUGAAAGCCAACAGCUUAACUGUUGAAUUGCCUUUGAUACUGUCAUUCUUGAGUAUGUUUAAAGUGGGCGGAAUGUGACAUGUAGCGGUGAAAUGCGUAGAGAUGUCACAGAACACCGAUUGCGAAGGCAGCUCACUGAGCCAUUACUGACGCUGAGGCACGAAAGCGUGGGGAUCAAACAGGAUUAGAUACCCUGGUAGUCCACGCCCUAAACGAUGCCAACUGGACGUUGGUCUCAACUUGGAGAUCAGUGUCGAAGCUAACGCGUUAAGUUGGCCGCCUGGGGAGUACGGUCGCAAGACUGAAACUCAAAGGAAUUGACGGGGGCCCGCAUAAGCGGUGGAGUAUGUGGUUUAAUUCGAUACAACGCGAAAAACCUUACCUACCCUUGACAUGCCCGGAACCCUGGUGAGAGCUGGGGGUGCCCGAAAGGGAAUCGGGACACAGGUGCUGCAUGGCUGUCGUCAGCUCGUGUCGUGAGAUGUUGGGUUAAGUCCCGCAACGAGCGCAACCCUUGUCAUUAAUUGCCAUCAUUUGGUUGGGCACUUUAAUGAGACUGCCGGUGACAAACCGGAGGAAGGUGGGGAUGACGUCAAGUCCUCAUGGCCCUUAUGGGUAGGGCUUCACACGUCAUACAAUGGUCGGUACAGAGGGUUGCCAAGCCGCGAGGUGGAGCCAAUCCCAGAAAGCCGAUCGUAGUCCGGAUCGGAGUCUGCAACUCGACUCCGUGAAGUCGGAAUCGCUAGUAAUCGCGGAUCAGCAUGCCGCGGUGAAUACGUUCCCGGGUCUUGUACACACCGCCCGUCACACCAUGGGAGCGGGUUCUACCAGAAGCAGUUAGCCUAACCGCGAGGGGGGCGAUUGCCACGGUAGGAUUCGUGACUGGGGUGAAGUCGUAACAAGGUAACC